UUCGACCCACCGGCCGACUCUUAGAGAAGUAGCAAUGUCAUUAGUCUUACCAUCAAUUUUUUUAUUGGGAUCAUCACUUCCGAAAGACUACCCGUCCCACCCUACCUAGGCCUGAUGUCAAGUCUAAGGGAGCUCUAUGACAAGGAUAAAACUAACGUUUUUAGUAAUAUAUAACGUCCCACCUAUCGUUCAAGAGGAAUUGGACUUUGCUAUUUUGAAUUUGCAUUCUAGACGAAAAGAAAGCUAUGUUGCCUAGAACUCGAAACGCGUAACAAGUAGGACGUCACGUAGCACAUAAUUCUCCCAAGUUAGCCUCUUGAUUAAUUAACGUUAAUUAAUGUGAUUAACAUACAGAGACAAAUAAUUAUUUAUUUUGUGUCAUAGACCUAUAGGCAUGAUAUCUAAGUGUUCAACAACUGAUUUAAUAUGACAAAAAUAACUGUGACUCGUGUGUUUAACAAAGUGUUAUUAAGUGUUAACAAAAGGGUGUCAAAAGUAUGGUAAAUAUGUGAACUAAGUGCUAUAAACUAAAAAAUUAACAAAAAUAUUAAAAUGCAUUAACAUGUCUUGUGAACACAAUGAUGUACUUAACCUAGUGUUUAAUCUGUUGAAAGUGCUCAAAAAUUUAUAUUUUAAUAUACUGACAAUUGUGUUAAUGCAGGAAUAUAAUGCAAUAACAUGCUAAAAUGCCAAACACUUAAUGUUUUAACAUGGUAAAAUAUGUUAGAAUUUAAUGUUAACAUGUUUAAAUUAACACUAACAUGCUGAAAGUUAAUGUUUAUCAUACGAGAAGUUAUUAUUCAUGCCUGAAAUUCAAUUAAACAUGUUGGAAUUGUAUUCUUAAUAUGGGAACAUACUAAACAAAAUGCAGACAUGCUGAAAAGUGUUUCAUCAUGCUGGGAGUAUUAUUAAACAUUCUGAAAAUUACAUUAAAUAUGCUAGAAAUCAUGGUUAAUGCACCGAAUUUCACGCUAACAAACUGAAAGUAGUUCUGAAAUGUUGAAACUUUAUUUAAUCCUAAUGUUUGACCAUAUUAACAUGCCAACGUUUAUUUUAAUGUGCAGAAAUCAAAUACUAACAUGUUCUAAUAAUGUUAACAUGCUGAAAUUAAUUUAAAAUUGCUGAAAAUUAAUCUAAACAUGAUGGAAAUUAAUCUAAGUUGCUGAAAAUUGAUUUAGACAUGUAGAAACUUGAUUUAAACGUGCUGAAAAUAUUAAAUACGUUGUUCAACAUGCUGAAAAAUGCUCAAGUAAGCAGAAAAGUGUUUAACGUAGUAACUUGCAUGUUAAGAUGCGAAAAUGCUCGAAUUAAUUGUUAAUCGCGUAGGAAAGUAUUACCAUGACUAUAGUCAACUUUAAUAUACUAACAUGCUGAAAAAUAUUUAGGCGUGCCUAAUUCUAACAUUCAGCAUGCAAACAAAUAUGUUAAUAUGCAAGAAUUUAUUAGGUGACAUAAUAAAAUGCUUGAAUUUGGAUUAACAUGUAACGACAUGCUUGAUGUAUUAAUGUAUGGACAUGCUAAAUAUGUUAAUUCUUAAUGUCAAUUUAAGAGCCUCAGAGUAAAUUUUCAAGCAAAUUUGGUAAAUCGUAGAUUAAGCGUCUAAAUGAUGCGUAUGUUAAUAGAUCCUAAGAUUAUGUGCCUAAAUGAUUCACGUAUGCAUAAAACCUAUGCCGCGCCUAUCUAUACUAUUAAUAGAGCAUGUAGAUCCCCGCUCUCCGAGCAGCCCCCAAUAAUUAUUAUUACAAUAAUAAUAACGUUUAUAUAGAGUUAUUACAACACCAAGAAUCAAAAGUAAAUAAAUGAACAAAGAAAAAGGUGUAGCUCUCCCCCCACGAACUUUUCGACGACUCUUCAAAUACCCGAGACUGUCUAUUUAUACCUGUGAGACAAUAUGUAAUAGCAAUACAAACGGAAAUAUAACAUGAUAUAGACAUAGCAAGAAAACACUGAAUGAUUCCUAUAAGCAUGUUUACCAUCAUCAUUAUAUAAGGUAUAUAAAAUAAAAUUACGUCGAUAGGGAACUAACCGGUUGAUGAUAACAAAUAAUAAUAAUAACACUUUUAGUAAAGAGAAAGUGUAUGUUGUGUGAUGUAACUUGUUCCAAAUAAUAGGAGGAGGGUUGUUUAUAUAGUUGUGAAAAAAUCAGUCAGCCCAAGCACAAAAGGAAACAAAAACUUGAUGUAUUCAAUCAAUGAAAGUCCUUUCCUUAAAUAUCCAAAUCACUAUUAUAUUCGUCAACUAAAUUAAUCAGCCCACGCAUAAAAAGGAAAAAAGAAUAUUUUAUCAAUCAACAAUGAAAGGAAAAAUAUUUUAGAGUUAGUUAAUCAAUCACGAAGAGAAGAUUGUCUUAAUUAUCAUAAAUCAGUGAGCAAAAAAAAUAUGUAGAAAAUCUAUCCAUAUUUAAAUAUGUGGGAAAAUCAGCUGGAUAAACGAGCACUUACCAUAAUUAACAGAUUGUCACCAAAACAGAUUUCACAAAACCCAAGCAAUUAGUCCAUAGUUAACAGAUUUUCAUCCAAACAGAUAGUCCAAUUUCACAAAAAUCAAGCAAUUAAUCUCAAAGCAACUUACCAAAAGAAAAAGAUUUACUAUGUACGGGCACGGGUUGAUGUAAUUACGCACAAACUCAAAUCCCAACUGUAAAAAAUAAUCUUCUAGUGGAUCAAGACGAAAUUCAAAAUCCAAGCUUGUCAAGACGAUCUUAGCAUAAAAGCGAUUUUGAAAAUCAGUUUCAAAUUAAACACGGAAACCAAAUCACCAUAUCAGGGUCACCCACGGAAAACUAAAAAUUCAGCUUAAAUUCAACAUACUAAAAGCGAAAAGGAAAGCAAGGUCUAGGGGGUUUUGUAUAGCCACACAAGGACACAAAUAAGCACGUAAUUAAGGCAUUGAAUCAGAAUUCGGACUCAAACAUCACGAAUUUCACAUUAAAAUGAAAUAAGAACAACUUUCAGUCGAGGGAUGCAAACCUGAGAACCAUUACAAAAUUUACACCUCUUUUUCUUGUCAAAUUUGGCUGGAAUAGUCGGAUCGCUAGUCGGAGUUCGUGGGUGGGCGAAGGCGCGCAUGGAGGUGAGAUUCCAGCGGCUGGCAGAUGGGUUGAAUUACGGCAGCGAUGGUGGCUUCGUCGAAGGGAUCCCUCAAAGGGAAGCGACGCGUGGAUUGUUUCACCAGCGGUUGCUAGCGGAUCUGGGGGCGGCCGGAGGCAGCGAUGGUGUUGGCGUUUUGAGGGGCUUCACCGGCUUACUUUGCCGGUUGCAUGGCUUCGACAGGGAGGCGAGGGAAAGACGGCAGCGGAGGUGGUUGUUUUGUUGAUGGCUCAUGGUGGAUCUGGGGUUUGUACAUCGACGGGGGGUUCGCCGGUGAAAAAGGACAAGGGGAGAGAGGAGGAAGGGGAGUGGUGGAGCGGCGGCAGCCGUCCAUCUGAGUAGGAAGAUGAUGGAGGGGCCGCAGCACCUCCAUUGAUGGUGAAGAGGUCUGAGAGAGAGAGAGAGAGGUAGAUGGUGAGUGAAUGAGAUUAGGGUUAGGGUUUUUGAUGUCUUAAUAGGAAAGAAAUAGAUCAUUUAAUCUCAGCCUUCAGAUUAGUUUUUAUCGACGGCUGAUAUUUAAAGGUUUGAUCAAAAUUAUAAUUUAGAAAUGAGUCACCAAAUUGGCUAUAUUUGUAAUGAAAAUGACUAAAAUUAUAAUGACUUGAGUUAAAAUUGAGGCUAAAAGAUAAACAAAUUAGGCAAAGGUUUCAAUUUAGGCUGUUAUUUAAAAUAUGGCUGGGAUGAUAAAUAAAUAAAAAUAACAAUAACAAUAAUAAUAAAUAAUAAUAAUUAAUAAUAAUAAUAAUAAUAUUAAUAAUAAUAAAUAAUAUUUAUAAUAACAAUAAUAAUAAAUACUAAUGGAAAAUCGGAUAAUGUAUUUGCAAAAAUAUGAGUAUGCACAGUUACGAAUAGUUUAAUAAAACUAUGUAAAUGUCGUACUUGAGUUUUAAAAUUAUACUAAAAUAAAUAAAAAAUAAUUUGUACAUUUUCUAAAAUUAUUAAUGUGACACGUCAAAAAUCUGUUUUAUGUAAGAAAAAUGUGUAAAAAAUUUACUAACAUUUAAAAUUAGUAAUUUUAGCUAAAAUAACAGCCUAAAAGGAAUCUCGAGAGGUCAAAAUUGGGUGUCAACAGAUGCCCCUUCGUUGUUUGAGAAUGAUAAAAGAAUUGUCAAGCAACGAAAGUUGACGUAGUAGUCAAUUUUGUCCGACCGAGAAAGAUUUGUUGGAAUUAAAGCAACAGGAGGUGGUUGAAAAUAGUGUGGCCUAGACUUCGAUUUCAAGUCGCCUAUAUAUCUCUGGUUUUAUGAGAAUCAGGCCAUUUAUAGUUCUAGAUUUAGGAACGAACAAUAUUCUUGAAGAUUGUUAAUAAAAAAGAAUAGGGGCAUCAACAACGGUAUCGCAGGUCAGUGAGACGGUAAUGAAUAGGAUUUGGGAGUGAUGACAUAUGGAGAAGUUUGAAAAUAUUAAGGUACGUGAGAUGAUGGAUGAAUAGAUGGGGUAAUAUUCCAAAAACAAAAACGAACAUUGUCCCUGUUUGUUAUUCCUUCUCUAUUUCCUACGUCUUUACAUCGCACUAAAUAACAAAGGUUAGACAUGUAAGAAAUAAGCAAUUGAUAAACGUAAUGUAAAUGCGAAACUUAAGAAAGUAUAUCUGUUGCAUCAUGGAAUCGUGUGAUCAGUUGCUUGGCUUCUCCUCGUGGGAUCAAUUUUUGGCUUCUUGGUGUACUGUGGAAUCGUGUGAUCAGCUACUUGGCUUCUCAUUGUGCGAUCAGCUUUUGGGCUUCUCGAUGCAUUGUAGAAUCGUGUGAUCAACUACUUGACUUCUCAUCGUGCAAUCAGUUUUUGGGCUUCUCGAUACAUUGUGGAAUCGUGUGAUCAGCUACUUGGCUUCUCAUCGUGCGAUUAGCUUUUAGGCGUCUCGAUGCAUUUUGGACAUGAUCAGCUACUUGGCUUCUCAUCAUGCGAUCAACUUUUGGGCUUCUCGAUGCAUUAUGGAAUCGUAUGAUCAGCUACUUGGCUUCUCAUCGUGCGAUCAAUGUUUGGGCUUCUCGAUGCAUUAUGGAAUCUUAUGAUCAGCUACUUAGCCUCUCAUCGUGCGAUCAAUGUUUGGGCUUCUUGAUGCAUUGUGGAAUCAUGUGAUCAACUACUUGGCUUCUCAUUAUGCGAUCAUCUUUUGGGCUUCUCGAUGCAUUGUGGAAUCGUGUGAUCAACUACUUGGCUUCUCAUUAUGCGAUCAGCUUUUGGGUUUCUCUAUGCAUUGUGGAAUCGUAUGAUCAGCUACUUGGCUUCUCAUCGUGGGAUUGUGAUCUGUACCUACCAUUUUUACCUUGACUCGGCAGAAAUGAUUAGUGUGAAUAUAUGUACGUGUAUAGAAAAUCAACCAUUGUAGCAAACGACCAUAAUGGUAAUGAUAAUAGAAGAUAAAAAGCGUAUUUGUCAUGUUGUUGAAUCAACUGUGAGGCUUCUCAUCAUGAUAUUGGGUUGUCUAUUGUGUCCCUCGUGAUCAAGUGAUUUGUACCUGUUAAUCCUGCUAUUUUUAAACUCAACUAGAUAAAAAUGGUUAGCAUGGAUAUAUGUGUAAGUAUAGAAUAUUGAACAACGUAGCAAAAACAACCAUAACAAUAAUGAUAAGAAGAGAUAAGAAAGCGUGUCUAUUAUACUUUUAGAUUAGUUGUUGGGUCUUCUCGUCAUGAGGGCCUCUCGUGAUGGAGUGACUGUUGUCAUCUGUACUUAUUAAUCUUGUGUUCAAAGACAAGUCCGCAGUAAAAAAGAAACGUGGAUUUGUACCAUGCUCGAGUCGACUCCUUGGUCGUUGUUUUCUACUUUAUGAACCGUUGGAAUUUGUACUCCAUCGUGAUGAAAUUUUUGAGGAAUUCUAAAUUUUUUUUACCUUAGAAUAUAAAGUGCCUUUUCGCACAUCAUACUGAAUGAAUAUAUUAUUUACUCGUGAAAUUUUGUAGGAAAUCUUAAAAAUUUUUGCCCCAAUUUAGAUUGACAAGGCGUCUUUUGCACGUCAUUGUGAAUGAAUAUAUUGUUUACACGUGAUAUUUUUUGAGUUUUUUCUUGAAACCUCAAAAAUUCUGGCCCAGUUUUUGUCUUCAAAGUCUUAUAUUCCUGUACCACUCAAAGAAAACAUUAGUCCAAGAGAAAUGGUUGUCCUACAUUUGAAUAUCGUAACCUCAAUUGUAAUCCACCUUUAUAUGCUCAAGAGUUAGGCCGAUUAGCCGACGAUUUGUAAGAGUUUGAAAGAGAGGGAAAAGAAAAUGUUUUAUUAGAUUAAAACUGACCCAGAGUGAACUGCCUACGUAUCCAAAUGGAAUUCAGGUCGAAUGUAGUUCAUGAGUACAAAGAAAUGUAGAGAAAACAAGAAAAUAUUUCUAGCCAUAUGGCGGGUAAAAUAGUAACGUGAAACAGGAACGUUAAUUCAUGUGAUGCAUUUUAUGUUUCUUUCGAGAACGUCUUGGAUCUUGUUGGACAGAGUAGGAUUGGAUAUGAUGAGCCCUGUUUCGAGGACCAAAAAUAGCGUGGGUCUCAUUAUUUUGGUAACCUUAUGUUGGAGGUAUGAAGGGUGAUGAAUCCUCUUUCUCUUCCUUGGGUGGAUUAUUCGUUUCAUAUUCUAAUUUCUUUCCAAUAGAAAUUAGACUCUUAAAGCUGUGAUUGACCAGGAAGAACAUUUUCUGGAAGUAUAUUUCAUCUAGUGUCUUGAGAAAAAUUUGAACCAAUUCCUCCUCAGGUACAUAAGGAUGCAUUUUGGAAGCCUCUAACCUCUAUCAAUGGCAUAUUCCUCAAAAGAUUCAUGGGCCGCUCUCUUCAUCUCAAGCAAUUCCCGUAUUGUUGGACCAACAUUGAUGUUGGACUUAUAUUUCCCCAUAAAAUCUUGAGCCAAUUCUUCCCAGUUUUGCCAUUUAUUGAAGUCUUGUUGGGCGAAGCAUAUGAGUGCCAUUCCUGACAAACUUUGAAUAAACAAUCUCAUAAGAAGAGGCUUAUUGUGCCCUAUGCCAAUUAGUCUACCACAAUAGCCCUUCAGAUUUUUGAUCGGAUCUCCAUGCCCAUCGAAUGUGUUGACCUUGGAAACUUUGUAUCCUAGAGGUAAAUCAAUCCACAGAUGUAUGCAUAAUUUCUCAUACCUUAAGUCGUAGAUACCCCUAGAACGCAAUUCCUCAUUUAACCUUUUCUCUAGGUCACGAAGCCUUUGCCAACGUUUAUCUAAAUUGAUCCUUUCACUUUUAGAAGUGUCACGUGUAAAAGAAAAUUAUUGAGAAGGUGUGUGGGUAAGGCGAGAACGAGGACAAGGAGGCGUAGUGUUUUGCCUUGGGCGAUGAGAAAGAGGAUUGAAAACUUUUAGGAUAUUGAGCAUAUUUGUCAUGUUGCAGAUUGUCACUUGAGUUCAAUUUUCAAAGGCUAGACAACCCUUAAAUAAAAUAAGCAAGAGAAACAACAAUUAUCACAAAAUGCAUAAGUUUAAAACGUAAUAAAUAUAAAUAAAAGGCAUUCUAAGAUGAAUACUAAGCCUUAAUAAACAUUCUAGGCGUACAGAUUUGAGCUCGUAACGCAUGAAAUAUAAUAAUGACAGAACAUAAUGGUAAUUUGCAAUUGUGAAUGUAAAGAAGAUAAGCAAGAUAGGAAAUGAGUAAGGUCGACUUUCAUUGAACAUCAAAUUUGUUGAUUCAUACAUCACAUUGUUGAUUCAUCCAACUUCGUAUAGAAAAGAACAAAAUGGGAAAAAAUAACACUUUAUUAUGAUGAGACCGAACUCAUAAAUGAGCGCCUACGUAUCCCUCAUAUAGGAGAAUCAGGUCAACCAUAGUUCACAUUACAUAAGAAAGGAAGACAUAAAAAGAAAACUAUAGAAUGUAAAACUUGAAGGAAUUUCUAACAUUGUGAGUCUGGAGUGGAGAUCAACAUGAUAUCCUCGACACCAAUGUAGGACCCUUGCAAGUCAAGCCUAGUAAAUCAAUCAUCAUGAUUUGGCUUUAUUACACUUAUCACUUUGUCAUCAAUCAGCGAUUGAAUUUUGUCUUUCAAAGUUUUACACUCUUCUAUGGCGUGUCCUUUCAUCCCUGAAUGAUAAUCAAGAUUUUUAGAACGAUCAAGCUAUGGUGCACAUGUGUUCAUGACAAUACAGGUAUAAGAGUGAUGUAGCCAGCCAUCCUUAGUCUCUCAUAAAGUUAAGCUAUGGGCUCAAUCAAAGGAAUGUACUAUCUUGGAAGAUUUUUUUGAAGCUUACGUUGAGAUUUGGUGGAUUUGUUAGAUUAUUGAUUUGUGAGAGGACUUGGGUAAAAAACUGGAAUAUAGUCUGUGAAAGAGGUUUUGUGAAGGAAUGAGGAUGAUAGGCUUGGACAUAAUUAGAGGUUGGGAUGAUUUCUGGAGCUGGGUACCAUAUCAGUUGAGGUUGAGGUGCGCUUACUUCAGGCUUUGAAGGUUUGAAUAUCUCAUCGAUGAUCGUCUUUCCCUUAUUCUUAGAUUGUGGCUUAACCAAAUUUGCCUCAGCUAUGAACUUCCUUUUUAGCUUAUUGUCGAACAGCCUAAUGAAGUCAGUUGUCAAAUGAUUCCAAGAAACCCAGUUGCUAGGGCCUUUGUUUGCGUACCACAUCAAUGCUGGACCUGUAAGUGAAUAAACAAAGAGCUUCAUCUUGAGACCAUCACUUUGCCCUAUAACUGCUAGUUCAUUAAGAUAGGCCUUCAAAUGGCAAUGAGGGUUUCCUGACCCGUCAUACAGUGAAAAGUUCAGGUCCACAAUUUUAUCCUUGUCUUCUUCCCUUGAUUUGGGUGACUUAUUCAUUUUGGGAUGCUGAGAUGAUCUUGCCUCAUGGUUAGGGACCUGUCCUUCCAUCUUUUUAUCCUCACUCAUAUUUGUUAACUCAAUAAUUUCCUUUAGCAAUGCAAUUGAAAAUUGACUUGGGGACAUGGACGUAUCAUGAUCAGAUUUUGGUGAAGUUGUCAGCAUAGGGACUCCGUGGUGUGGAUAGGAGGAAUGAAAUCUGCUUCAGAUAGCGGCUCUAAAAAACCUGAUGGUAUCUCAGUGGCAUCUCAACCGAACCUCGAAUAUCAUUUAUUAUUCCCCUAAUUAGUUUAUCCUUCUUCCUAACCUUUUGAUGCUCAAAAUGACUCUGUUUUGAUGCAACCCCAAGAUUUCAUGCUUAGCUUCGCUAUUGACAAGAUUGAUAAGCAUCGCUUGACUGGACAUUUUUGAUUUUCAAGUAUAGUCAACCUUAGAAGAAAGGAUUUAACAAUUAGGAACAAGGAGCACGUGCAGAGGUUUAGAAUAAAUAUUCUACUCAUUUGAACAUAAUGAGUUAUGCUCGUUCGGAGUGAAUAGACAUUAUGAGAGCUCUAUGUGACUUAGAGGUUGUAAAAGGUAGAGUAAGAAAUGAGUAUGAGGAUGAUAGUAUGUAAACGUUAGAAGCAUUAGGAAGAGGAUAUCCUAAACUAAUAAGUUGCACAAAGAAAUUGUGAAUGAGACUAAAACCCUUUAUCAAAGCGAGAGUUGAGCCUAGGGAUAAUUAGUCUACUAACAGAUGAGUCAGGAGGAUAAUUGAAGGAAAGUAUUAAAUAGGCCUAAGAGUGUAUUGUAGGGACCUAACAUGAUGAGAAUUUUAAGAGUAAAGAGUUCUAAGGUAAGGAACACUAAAUGUAAGGAGUGACUAAGGUAAGAACGGAAUCAACAAGAUAGGCAAGAUGUCAAUACAUACAUAGAAAUGCAACACAUAGCAAAUAAUUGUGAGUCUUUUUGAGGUCGUGAACCUCUUUGGACUCUGAAUGAGACAAACAUUAAACCCGUCAAGGAUACCAAGGCAUCUUAUGUUGAAUGGGACGUAUAUUCCUUAAUAAAAGAAAUAUGUAGCCAAGAUCUAAAGGCAAGAGUAGGUUUAUGACAUAGUUCCCUCGAGUGGACAACUUGAGAGUGGGAAAGCUUGUGGCUGUCAACGCACCACUGAUCGACCAAUCCACAUGCUAACAUAUGUUAACAAUGCAAGAAUUUAUUUAACAUGUUUAAAUUAACACUAACAUGCUGAAAGCUAAUGUUUAUCAUACGAGAAGUUAUUAUUCAUGCUAGAAAUUCAAUUAAACAUGUUGGAAUUAUAUUCUUAAUAUGAGAACAUACUAAAAACAAUGCAGACGUGUUAGAAAGUGUUUCAUCAUGCUGGGAGUAUUAUUAAACAUUCUGAAAAUUGCAUUAAAUAUGCUAGAAAUUAUGGUUAAUGCAUAGCAUUUCACGCUAACAAACUGAAAGUAGUUCUAAAAUGCUAAAACUUUAUUUAAUCCUAAUAUUUGACCAUAUUAACGUGCCAAGGUUUAUUUUAAUGUGCAAAAAUUAAAUACUAACAUGUUCUAAUAAUGUUAACAUGCUGAAAUUAAUUUAAAAUUGCUGAAAAUUAAUCUAAACAUGCUAGGAAUUAAUCUAAGUUGCUGGAAAUUGAUUUAGACAUGCAGAAACUUGAUUUAAACGUGCUGAAAAUAUUAAAUACGUUUUUCAACAUGCUGAAAAAUGCUCAAGUAAGCAGAAAAAUAUUUAAUGUAGUAACUUACAUGUUAAGAUGCGAAAAUGCUCGAAUUAAUUAUUAAUCACGUAGGAAAGUAUUACCAUGCCUAUAGUCAAUUUUAAUAUACUAACAUGCUGAAAAAUAUGUAGGCGUGCCUAAUUCUAACAUUCAACAUGCAAACAAAUAUAUUAAUAUGCAAGAAUUUAAUAGGUGACAUAUUGACAUGCUUAAAUUUGGAUUAACAUGUAACGACAUGCUUGAUGUAUUAACGUAUGGACAUGCUAAAUAUGUUAAUGCUUCAUGUCAAUUUAAGAGCCUCAGAGUAAGAUUUCUAAGCAAAUGAUGUGUAUGUUAAUAGAUCCUAAGAUUAUGUGCCUAAAUAAUUCACGUAAGCAUAAAACCUAUGUCAUGCCUAUCUAUACUGCCGCUCCCGAACAAUCCCCAAUAAUUAUUAUUACAAUAAUAAUAACGUUUAUACAGAGUUAUUACAACACCAUGAAUCAAAAGUAAAUAAAUGAAUAAAGAAAAAGGUGUAGCCCUCCCCCACGAACUUUUCAACGACUCUUCAAAUAUUCGAGACUGUCUAUUUAUACCUGUGAGAACAUAUGUAAUAGCAAUACACCGAAUGAUUCCUAUAAGCAUGUUUACCAUCAUCAUCAUGUAAGGUAUAUAAAAUAAAAUUACGUCGAUGGGGAACUAACCGGUUGAUGAUAACAAAUAAUAAUAAUAACAAGAAAACCAAACAGCCAGAGAUCCGAGAGUGAAUUGUCACUGAAAGGUCAAGAUUAAUGCUCCAAAGAUGAGUGCUAAAAAUAAUGAAGUAAAAUUGCCUCUUCUUUGUUUAACACUUUUAGUAAAGAGAAAUUGUAUGUUGUGUGAUGCAAUUUAUUCCAAAUAAUAGAAAGAGGGUUGUUUAUAUAGUUGUGAAAAAAUCAGUCAGCCCAAGCACAGAAGGAGCAAAAACUUGAUGUAUUCAAUCAAUGAAGUACUUUCCAUAAAUAUCCAAAUCACUAUUAUAUUCGUCAACUAAAUUAAUCAGCCCAUGCAUAAAAAGGAAAAAGAGAAUAUUUCAACAAUGAAAGAGAAAAUAUUUUAGAGUCAAUUAAUCAAUCAUGGUGAGAAGAUUGUCUAACUAAUUACCAUAAAUCAGUGAGCAAAAAAAAAUAUGUAGAAAAUUUAUCCAUAUUUAAAUAGGUGGGAAAAUCAGCUGGAUAAAUGAGCACUUACCAUAAUUAACAGAUAGCCACCAAAAUAGCUUUCACAAAAACCAAGCAAUUAGUCCAUAGUUAACAGAUUGUCAUCCAAACAGAUAGUCCAAAAUUUCACAGAAAUCAAGCAAUUAAUCUCAAAGCAACUUAACAAAUAAAAAAAAUUUACUUUGUAUGGGCACGGGUUGAUGCAAUUACGCGCAAACUCAAAUCUCCAACUGUAAAAAUAAUCGCCUAAUGGAUCAAGGUAAAUUCAAAAUCCAAGCUUGUCAAGCCGAUCUUAGCAUAAAAGUGAUUUUGAAAAUCAGUUUCAAAUUGAACACGGAAACCAAAUCACCAUAUCAUGGUCAGCCAUAAGAAACUAAAAAUUUAGCUUAAAUUCAACAUACUAAAAGUGAAAAGGGAAGCAAGGUCUAGGGAAUUUUGCAUUACCACACAAGGACGUAAAUAAGCACGUAAUUUAAGGCAUUGAAUUAGAAUUUGGACUCAAACAUCACGAAUUUUAUAUUAAAAUGAAAAAAGAACAACUUUCAGUCGAGGGAUGAAAACCUGAGAUCCAUUACGAAAUUUACCGCUCCUUUUCUUGUCAAAUUUUGCCAAAAUAGUCGGAUCACUAGUCGGAGUUCGUGGGUGGAUGGAGUCACAUAUGGAGGUGAGAUUCCAGUGGCUGGCAGCAGGGUUAAAUUAUGGCAGCGAUGGUGGCUUUUCCGGAGGGGUCCCUUGACCGGCAGCGGCGCGUGGAUUAUUUUGUCGGCAGUUGCUGGCAGAUCUGGGGGCGUUUGGAGGCGGCAAUAGCAUUAGCGUUUUGAGGGGCUUCGCCGUCUGACUUUGUCGGUUGCAUGGCUUUGACAGGGAGGCGAGGGAAAGGCGGCAGCGGAGGUAGCUGUUUCAAUGAUGGCUCAUGGCAGAUCUAGGAAUUGUGCAUCGGCGGGGGGUUUGCCGAGGAAAGAGAACGAAGGGAGAGAGGAGAAAGGGGAGUGGUGGAGCGACGGUAGUCUUCCAUCAGAGUGUGAAGGCGAUAGAGGGGCGGCGGUGCCGUGAUGCACUUAAAGGGAUUCCUGACUGGAAAUCAUUAAUCUAGGAGUUAAGAUCGAAGAAGAUGAUAGAUAAAUCAAGGAUUAAUCCGAGAAUGUAGCUAAAAAGAAUUAUAGAGAAAAUAUAGAAGAGAGAAACUUAAGGUAUUAUUCAUGAAUGACUUCUGUGUCUUUCAUCUGAGCUUUUAUAGUUGGAGUGAACUACUAACAUCAAUGUAUUAACAGAGAAAUGGAACUACUAUAGUGUUAAUUAUCUAAGCUAUAGUUAUAACAAAAAUUUAAACUAUAACUGUCUAACUAAUUCUUCAACAACUUGCUUCCUCAAAGUGCCACCUUAGCUCAUUCCUUCAACUUGUAUCAAUACCCCUCCGUAAAGAACAUUCUUGACCUCAAGAAUGGAAAAGAUGGAAAUAUGUUGCACUUUAGACAAGAAAUCCCAAGUAGCUUUUAGACUUGUACAACAUCUAUGCCAGUCUAUUUGAUAAGGACCUGACACACAUCCUCAUUACCUCUUUUGACCAUUCUUCUGUCAAGGAUAUCCUCAGCCAUGGGGUAGUUAUGCUUCCAAAAUUCAUGCUUAAUAAAGUCAUAUUAGAAGGAGCAAAACAGCACAGGGCAAUAUCCUUUAACGAACUUUCUGUCAUCAGUCUUAGGGGCCAAUAAAGCGACUACACCAAAUCUCCUCUUCAUAUAUCUACCCUGUUUUCCUGAUGCUUGUCACUUGCCUUACCGCAGAAGAGGUUACUAUCCUUUAGAAAUUCCUCCAAAAUUUUGCGUAAAAUAGCACCUUUGAAAUGUGUUAAUCUUCCACUACAAUGCAAGUGUUCCCUUCCCGUCAGUAUAUCCUGAAGCAAGUCACAAGGUAGAAACACAUCCAUGAUGCCAUAUCUUCUCUUCAUCACCCUACUAAUAAAAGUAGUUUUGAUUGUAUCAAUUUCACUACGAAUUACAAAAGUUAACACAUCUGGCAGUCUAUGCAUAUUCAUCACCAUCAGUAAUUGUUGUUGCAUCUCCCCUCCAAGGUCAUGUAUAAUGAACCAUGUAAAAGAGACAAUAUUGAGAACUGAAUGUGCAAUGAUUAGCCUUAAAAUGCAACUGACUUGAUGCCACUCCACAUUAAUUGUAUUGCACAACUUGUUCAUGAAUUUUAGACUAUGCUUCAGCUGCCCCAAUUUACUCUUAUAGCCAACAUGGUAACUACAUUGUUUCUAUUUUAGUGAAGCCACAAUAUUCCUUCCACCCUUUUCCAACAUCUCAAAAUUAGCAAGAGCAAGCAUGGCAAGAAAAAGGCUUCAAGGAAUACUCUGAUCAACUGCCUGAAUUAUUUUGUACGAAGCCCCAAGAGAAGUGUAGACCCUUGUCUAGAAGCCACAUAAUAAUUAGUUAGUUGCUCAUAAUGUCUCGAUGUAAUAGCAUGAGAACCCUUACUAUCCAAAGCUACGAGGUAAGCAGCCAUGAAGCUUUUCCAGGAUGCUAUAGCUGCCAAUAUCUUAAAACUCUGAGUGUGCCCAGAAGUUCUCCACAUUUUCCCAUCAUGCCAAACAACAAUGUUAAUGACUGGUAUCUCAUUUUUGUAGGCAGCUAUUUGGCUGCGCAUGAUAUUUACUUUGUCCUGGUGACCUUCAUGGGCUCUUUUUAAAUGUAGAUUUUCACCUGGGAAAAGAUUCUUCCCUGAAGAACUUACCAUCAAAAAAACUUUUUUCCACAUGUAAAAAUCGAUUUCAAUUUUUUCCAAUGUGGGUGCAACAAGACCACUAUUCUCCAUAAAAUUCAAAACAUCCAUGACUUCCAGCUUGCCAUCAUAGGUAAAUUGUAAUCCAGUUAGAACAUCCAAUUCAGUGAUUAAACUGAUAGCGGAAGAAAGAGAGAAAUCAAUAGAAUUGAUUCUUUUUCCCUUUUUAUCAACUUCUCUCCAUGGUUCACCAAUCCCUUUCUUGUCCUUCUCAAUAGCGUAAUUGUUAUCCAUUUUAUCAAUUAUCUAAUUAGGAAAUGCAAUCACAUUCUUUAUUAUCUUUGUACUAAAGCUAUGCAUGUAAUUCUUCAAUUCAGUUCUAUAGUCUAUAUCAAUCAGAACAAUUACCUUAGAAUCACUUGUGCACUCUUUUCCUUUGUCAAUAGGCUUAUAUUAUUAGUGGUCAUCCCAAUCUCUAUGUUAACAGUCUCUUCCUCCACACCCACUGAUUUAUCUUCGCCUAUCAGAGUACCCUGUGAGCCAACUAUCAUCAUGAGAGGUUCCACUUUGUCAUACUUUCUGUGUCUAGGCUCCAGCAACAUCUGAGGAAUAGGGCUCAUUUUCUCCUGUGAAAUAUCUUCUUUCUCUAUUGCUUCACAUUCUCAUUGAUCGACAAGAAGAAGAGAACCCAAAUUGUCAAAAAACAUCCCUACUCCACCAGUGGGUAGUUUAUCAUCCUUAUACAACCCUGUUCUCAGAUCUUGACAAGAAAACUUAGGGAAAUCCAGUUUAGAACAUCGAGAAAGAAAUUUACUACAAUUAGUUUGACUUUCCUUAGUUGUAUUGAAGUGUGCUUGAUCUCUAGAACAGUCUCCAACAAUAGAAGCUUUAGCCCUACCAAGUUCCACUUCUUUUUCUUGUUCCAUCAUGUUUCCCAGUGCUUGUUUCAUUUCCCUCAACUCUUUAUUUGUCUAUGCAGUCCUAUCGGUCAUGCUCGUCAUAACCUCUAAGAGUUUCUACAAUUGGUCUUGAAUCUGUGAAUGCUUGUCAUCUAUUUCUAUUGUUGGUCCUUCUUGAUUCUUGUCCUGAGUCAUUAUCAUGCCAAGAAUCGGACUGUUUUGAUAGCACUUAAAGGGAUUCGUGACUGGAAAUCAUUAAUCUAGGAGCUAAGCUCAAAGAAUAUGAUAGCUAAAUCAAGGAUUAAUCCAAGAAUGUAGCUAAAAAAAAUUAUAGAGAAAAUAUCGAAGAGAGAAACUUGAGCUAUUAUUCAUGAAUAAUUACGGUGUCUUUCAUCUGAGCUUUUAUAGUUGGAGUGAACUACUAACAUCAAUGUAUUAACAGAGAAAUGGAACUACUAUAGUGUUAACUACCAAAGCUACAGUUAUAACAGAAAUUUAAACUAUAACUGUCUAACUAAUUCUUCAACAACUUGCUUCCUCAAAGUGCCAGCUUAGCUCAUUCCUCCAACUUGUAUCACGCCUCUAUUGAUGGUGAAGAGGUCUGAGAGAGAGAGAGAGGUAGAUGGUGAGUGAAGA
This 15962-nucleotide long non-coding RNA is filed under the name Capsicum annuum. Its description in RNAcentral is "long non-coding RNA (CANN_LNC005363)". The record is from RNAcentral. Lineage: Eukaryota; Viridiplantae; Streptophyta; Magnoliopsida; Solanales; Solanaceae.